GAUGAAGAACGUAGCGAAAUGCGAUAAGUAAUGUGAAUUGCAGAAUUCAGUGAAUCAUCGAAUCUUUGAACGCACAUUGCGCCCGCCAGUAUUCUGGCGGGCAUGCCUGUUCGAGCGUCAUUUCAACCAUCAAGCCCCAGGCUUGUGUUGGAGCCCUGCGGCUGCCGCAGCCUCCCAAAACCAGUGGCGGGCUCGCUAUCACACCGAGUGCAGUAGUUUACUCUUCGCUCAGGGCGUGUGGCGGGUGCUAGCCGUAAAACCCCCAACUUCUCAAGGUUGACCUCGGAUCAGGUAGGAAUACCCGCUGAACUUAAGCAUAUCAAAAGCGGAGGA
This 333-nucleotide unclassified non-coding RNA is filed under the name soil metagenome. RNAcentral describes it as "partial contains 5.8S ribosomal RNA, internal transcribed spacer 2, and large subunit ribosomal RNA". The stretch from base 1 to 120 matches the Rfam family "5.8S ribosomal RNA", at positions 35 to 154 of the family's 154-position model. The record is from RNAcentral.